AGCCAGACUCCUACGGGAGGCAGCAGUGGGGAAUAUUGCACAAUGGGGGAAACCCUGAUGCAGCAACGCCGCGUGAGUGAAGAAGUCAUUCGUGAUGUAAAGCUCUAUCAGCAGGGAAGAAAAUGACGGUACCUGACUAAGAAGCCCCGGCUAACUACGUGCCAGCAGCCGCGGUAAUACGUAGGGGGCAAGCGUUAUCCGGAUUUACUGGGUGUAAAGGGAGCGUAGACGGCGGGGCAAGUCUGGAGUGAAAGCCCGGGGCCCAACCCCGGGACUGCUUUGGAAACUGCCAUGCUGGAGUGCAGGAGAGGUAAGUGGAAUUCCUAGUGUAGCGGUGAAAUGCGUAGAUAUUAGGAGGAACACCAGUGGCGAAGGCGGCUUACUGGACUGUAACUGACGUUGAGGCUCGAAAGCGUGGGGAGCAAACAGGAUUAGAUACCCUGGUA
This 446-nucleotide ribosomal RNA is filed under the name uncultured bacterium. RNAcentral describes it as "bacterial SSU rRNA". It matches the Rfam family "Bacterial small subunit ribosomal RNA", at positions 329 to 792 of the family's 1533-position model. The record is from RNAcentral.